CGAAAGCCUGACGGAGCAAGACCGCGUGGGGGAGGAAGGCUCUAGGGUUGUAAACCCCUUUUCUUUGGGAAGAACAAAAUGACGGUACCAAAGGAAUCAGCCUCGGCUAACUCCGUGCCAGCAGCCGCGGUAAUACGGAGGAGGCAAGCGUUAUCCGGAAUGAUUGGGCGUAAAGCGUCCGCAGGCGGCUCAACAAGUCUGCUGUCAAAACCCAGGGCUCAACCCUGGAUCGGCAGUGGAAACUGUUGAGCUUGAGUACGGUAGGGGUAGAGGGAAUUCCUGGUGUAGCGGUGAAAUGCGUAGAUAUCAGGAAGAACACCGGUGGCGAAGGCGCUCUACUAGGCCGUAACUGACGCUCAUGGACGAAAGCUAGGGGAGCG
RNAcentral lists this ribosomal RNA (380 nucleotides) under uncultured cyanobacterium. Its description in RNAcentral is "bacterial SSU rRNA". It matches the Rfam family "Bacterial small subunit ribosomal RNA", at positions 376 to 770 of the family's 1533-position model. Lineage: Bacteria; Bacillati; Cyanobacteriota. The record is from RNAcentral.